GUUAACUUUGACACUGCUGAGGUGAGACAUGCACAGGAAGUGUGACCUUUGACCUGUUCACACAGUCACACAGGCAGUCUGUAACAAGUACACAGUGGGUGGAUUUAAAGGUCACUUGGUGUCAGUCAGUGACAUGUACGACCUGAAGGCAGUGGUAAGAACCAUGUACGCUACCAACCCUCAGCAGCUGCAGUACUGGAUUGGAGCCUGGCACGAUGGAGGCUUCAAGUGGAUCAAUGGGUCACGAUACCAUUUCACCAACUGGGCUCGUAUGCUUCUCAUCUCUACUUUUUGCAGAUGACGUUGGCUCCAUCAAACCAGGAAUUCCAGUGUGCACUGGGGCGGUUUGCAGCAGAAUG
Molecule: long non-coding RNA, 359 nt
Organism: Monopterus albus (swamp eel)
Lineage: Eukaryota; Metazoa; Chordata; Actinopteri; Synbranchiformes; Synbranchidae
Exons: 3
Source: RefSeq, a predicted model, not a curated record